GGCAUAUCAAUAAGCGGAGGAAAAGAAACCAACAGGGAUUGCCCUAGUAACGGCGAGUGAAGCGGCAACAGCUCAAAUUUGAAAUCUGGCCCUCGGGUCCGAGUUGUAAUUUGUAGAGGAUGCUUUUGGUGCGGUGCCUUCCGAGUUCCCUGGAACGGGACGCCAUAGAGGGUGAGAGCCCCGUCUGGUUGGACACCAAUCCUCUGUAAAGCUCCUUCGACGAGUCGAGUAGUUUGGGAAUGCUGCUCUAAAUGGGAGGUAUAUGUCUUCUAAAGCUAAAUACCGGCCAGAGACCGAUAGCGCACAAGUAGAGUGAUCGAAAGAUGAAAAGCACUUUGAAAAGAGAGUUAAACAGUACGUGAAAUUGUUGAAAGGGAAGCGCUUAUGACCAGACUUGGGCUUGGUAGAUCAACCUGGGUUCUCCCCGGUGCACUCUUCCUCGUCCAGGCCAGCAUCAGUUCGCUGCGGGGGAUAAAGGCUUCGGGAAUGUGGCUCCCUCGGGAGUGUUAUAGCCCGUUGCGUAAUACCCUGCGGUGGACUGAGGUUCGCGUUCUGCAAGGAUGCUGGCGUAAUGGUCAUCAGCGACCCGUCUUGAAACACGGACCA
Molecule: ribosomal RNA, 606 nt
Filed under: Mariannaea macrochlamydospora
Lineage: Eukaryota; Fungi; Ascomycota; Sordariomycetes; Hypocreales; Nectriaceae
Description: eukaryotic LSU rRNA
Rfam family: Eukaryotic large subunit ribosomal RNA
Source: RNAcentral